Molecule: long non-coding RNA, 2034 nt
Organism: Cyprinodon tularosa
Lineage: Eukaryota; Metazoa; Chordata; Actinopteri; Cyprinodontiformes; Cyprinodontidae
Exons: 4
Source: RefSeq, a predicted model, not a curated record
GUUCUAUAAAGUCAGUCAUGAGCACCACCACACCUUUCACCUUUACCUGCAGCUGCUGCGGACUUUCUUUGUUUUAGUGUGCAGAAACUUGAUAUGAGAUGACCUGAAGAAGAGAUCACCACCAUCAUCCAGAUCAAAGGCAUUUUCUGUAGCAGCUGCAUGCCGCAUCCCACAGCCAUCAUGAAGGCGCUAACAACAGAUAAUAUCUAUGCGUACGCUCUGUCCAAGACACUGACAAGGGUCUCAUCUCCGACAACAGUGGGUCUCUACUCUUCUUGUCAGGAUCAACUGGAUGUGAUUCUCGAUCAAAUUGAAGAUGGAAAGGAUGGGUUUGGAGAGAGAAUACAUCGAUGCAGUAAAAGACAAUAAACUCAAUGGCUCUUCUCUGGUCUUUGGUGAUGUAGAGGAUCUGAAAGCCCUCCUGGGCAUGACAUUUGGGGAAUGGGCAUCUUUUAAACUGCACUUUUUGAGUUUUGUCUCACCUUUCCGGUCACAGUCCAGGAUCAUGCUGCCAUCAACUUCUAAGAACCAGCCAUCGAAGUUCCUUCAACACGCCGCUCAUUAUUACUCAUCUACUCCCAGUCUGUGUUAACAGCUGCAUGUCGGGUAGAAAUUAAGAAGUUCAAAGCUGUUGUUCUGCAGUUUGAGGUAAAAAUAUUCUUUGAACUUUUGGCUGGUUUUGUAUGACUUUAAUAAGCAGGCAGCACUGUGAUAUUUAGUUGUUGAAAUGUCAUGUUUUCAUUACAUCUCAGAUGUAUGAUCCUGGUUUCAAGGAAAUGAGCUAAAAAUCUUUAUUCACCCCAAGAAAAAUUUAUUCAUAGCUGAACUGAAGCUUAAAUAUAGUAAUGGUCCAUUUGAUACUUUAUACAAAGUGUUUUACAAUAGAUGCUUGGAUUUUAAGGCAAUUACAGCUCAUUGCUUUUCUAGAGGGCCUCAUUUUAAGUCCUAAAAUAAAAUAAAGACUGCUUCCCAGUCUACUAUAACUGUUAACUUAAGGUGAGUCAUAUAAUAAUUCAGAACACCUUAUUCAUGAGUGAAACAGUCAGUUUGAAAUUUACUAAAGAGGUUAGCAACCUCAAUAAAGCAUUCUUUAUGUCAGGAGAAGUUAAUUAGUGAAGCAAUAUUUAUGUAUGAGCACAAGACAAUUAUACACCAAGUCUUCCCACAGCAUUAGUGGAUUCAAUCUCAGAGGAUUCUGUUUAUUAACCACAUCCUAUAUGGCAUUUCUAUUGCAUAUUUAACAGUUCAUAGAGAUAAGAAAUAAUGAUGAUUAACCUUAAAACGUUAAAGACAAAAUACUGGUAAUUUAUAAAAAUGAGAAUAAGAUUUAAGCAUUUUUAUUUCAAACAAGUGGCUACAGUCCAGACCAUUAUUUCUGUUUUUUCUCAUGUUCAACAAUGAAAAUUAUUUUAUUUUUAUUUUUAUUUGCAAUGUUUUUAUCUUUCUGUGAAGCACUUUGGUCUCCCUGGUGUUGUUGUAAAGUUCUAUAUGAAUAGACUUUGAUUUGAUUUGAAAAUGGAUAAACAUAUAAAAAUUUAAUUCUUUAUUUCAUGCUAAUAAAAGGCAAACUGGUGAAUUAAAUGUAAACACAAAGUGUUCCACAGUAAAAUCCUCAUUUCAACAAAUCUUAUUUGGUGUAGCCUUGUUCUUAAGCACAUACUGACAUUUAGAAAUAGCCAAAGCAAUGUGAGGAGUUGUUAGUGACAUUUUCACCUCAAAGCUGCUAGAAUAUAAUUUCAUUUGCUCUCAUUCAAACUUUUUUUUUUGCUCUGAAAUGUUAAAAGGUUAAACCAAAACUAUUUAGCAACCCAAAGCCUUUACAGUUAUAAGAAUAUAAAAUCAAAGUCAUAAAGCAUAGAUUAAUGGAUUUCGAAUCAUGUGGUUAUAUGAACACAGAAGCACCUUUGUCAUGUCGUCUAGUAGGGUUACAUGUUUAAGACAACUGUUAGUUUAACAUUAUGAUACAGACACCAUAUAUUCCUUUUUGAUAUUAUAAUACAUAAUACUUUAAAGAUUUGCUCAUAAGCCUAUUUU